GAUGAACGCUGGCGGCGUGCCUAAUACAUGCAAGUCGAGCGAACGGACGAGGAGCUUGCUUCUCUGAUGUUAGCGGCGGACGGGUGAGUAACACGUGGAUAACCUACCUAUAAGACUGGGAUAACUUCGGGAAACCGGAGCUAAUACCGGAUGAUAUUUUGAACCGCAUGGUUCAAAAGUGAAAGACGGUCUUGCUGUCACUUAUAGAUGGAUCCGCGCUGCAUUAGCUAGUUGGUAAGGUAACGGCUUACCAAGGCGACGAUGCAUAGCCGACCUGAGAGGGUGAUCGGCCACACGAGAACUGAGACACGGUCCAGACUCCUACGGGAGGCAGCAGUAGGGAAGCUUCCGCAAUGGGCGAAAUCCUGACGGAGCAACGCCGCGUGAGUGAUGAAGGUCUUCGGAUCGUAAAACUCUGUUAUUAGGGCAGAACAAAUGUGUAAGUAACUCUGCACGUCUUGACGGUACCUAAUCAGAAAGCCACGGCUAACUACGUG
Molecule: ribosomal RNA, 497 nt
Filed under: uncultured bacterium
Lineage: Bacteria
Description: partial 16S ribosomal RNA
Rfam family: Bacterial small subunit ribosomal RNA
Source: RNAcentral